Molecule: ribosomal RNA, 200 nt
Filed under: uncultured bacterium
Lineage: Bacteria
Description: partial 16S ribosomal RNA
Rfam family: Bacterial small subunit ribosomal RNA
Source: RNAcentral
AGAGUUUGAUCCUGGCUCAGGACGAACGCUGGCGGUGUGCCUCACACAUGCAAGUCGAACGGGGUAGCAAUACCCAGUGGCGGACGGGUGAGUAACACGUGGGAAUCUGCCCUUUAGUGGUGAAUAACUGGUCGAAAGGCUAGCUAAUGUGCCAUACGUCGCAAGAUGAAAGCAGUAAUGCGCUAGAGGAUGAGCCCGCG